RNAcentral lists this ribosomal RNA (465 nucleotides) under uncultured bacterium. RNAcentral describes it as "bacterial SSU rRNA". It matches the Rfam family "Bacterial small subunit ribosomal RNA", at positions 338 to 795 of the family's 1533-position model. The record is from RNAcentral.
CCUACGGGUUGCAGCAGUGGGGAAUAUUGCACAAUGGGCGCAAGCCUGAUGCAGCCAUGCCGCGUGUAUGAAGAAGGCCUUCGGGUUGUAAAGUACUUUCAGCGGGGAGGAAGGCGAUAAGGUUAAUAACCUUGUCGAUUGACCUUACCCGCAGAAGAAGCACCGGCUAACUCCGUGCCAGCAGCCGCGGUAAUACGGAGGGUGCAAGCGUUAAUCGGAAUUACUGGGCGUAAAGCGCACGCAGGCGGUCUGUCAAGUCGGAUGUGAAAUCCCCGGGCUCAACCUGGGAACUGCAUUCGAAACUGGCAGGCUGGAGUCUUGUAGAAGGGGGUAGAAUUCCAGGUGUAGCGGUGAAAUGCGUAGAGAUCUGGAGGAAUACCGGUGGCGAAGGCGGCCCCCUGGACAAAGACUGACGCACAGGUGCGAGAGCGUGGGGAGCAAACAGGAUUAGAUACCCUCGUAGUC